RNAcentral lists this ribosomal RNA (376 nucleotides) under Triatoma dimidiata (kissing bug). RNAcentral describes it as "partial 16S ribosomal RNA". The record is from RNAcentral. Lineage: Eukaryota; Metazoa; Arthropoda; Insecta; Hemiptera; Reduviidae.
GUCCUUUUGUUUAUUUAUUUAAGGUCUGACCUGCCCAAUGAGGAAUUCAAUGGCCGCAGUAUUUUAACUGUGCUAAGGUAGCAUAAUCAUUUGUCUUUUAAUUGAGGGCUGGAAUGAAAGGUUGGACGAGAUAUUGACUUUCUUUAGUUUAAUUUUAAGAAUUUAAUUUUUGAGUUAAAAAGCUUAGAUUUAUUUGUUGGACGAGAAGACCCUAUAGAUCUUUAUAAUUCUAUAUUUUGAUAAUUUGGUGAUUUUAUUUAUUGUGAGUAGAAGAAUUAUUUUGUUGGGGUGACUGUAGAAUUUUAUUAACUUCUAUUAUUUUUAUUUCAUUGAUUGGUGUUUUUUUGAUCCAUAUAUUUAUGAUUAAAAGAUUAAG